RNAcentral lists this ribosomal RNA (477 nucleotides) under uncultured bacterium. RNAcentral describes it as "SSU rRNA". It matches the Rfam family "Bacterial small subunit ribosomal RNA", at positions 26 to 523 of the family's 1533-position model. The record is from RNAcentral.
AGGACGAACGCUGGCGGCGUGCUUAACACAUGCAAGUCGAGCGGUAAGGCCCUUUCGGGGGUACACGAGCGGCGAACGGGUGAGUAACACGUGGGUGACCUGCCCUUAGCUCUGGGAUAAGCCUGGGAAACUGGGUCUAAUACCGGAUAUGACCUCGCGAUGCAUGUCGUGGGGUGGAAAACCUUGUGCGGCUAGGGAUGGGCCCGCGGCCUAUCAGCUUGUUGGUGGGGUGAUGGCCUACCAAGGCGACGACGGGUAGCCGGCCUGAGAGGGCGACCGGCCACACUGGGACUGAGACACGGCCCAGACUCCUACGGGAGGCAGCAGUGGGGAAUCUUGCGCAAUGGGCGAAAGCCUGACGCAGCGACGCCGCGUGAGGGAUGACGGCCUCGGUUGUAACCUCUUCAGCCCUGACGAAGCGAAGUGACGGUAGGGCGAGAGAAGCACCGGCCAACUACGCGCCAGCAGCCGCGGUAA